UACGGGGGGGGCAAGCGUUGUUCGGAAUUACUGGGCGUAAAGGCUCGUAGGCGGCCAACUAAGUCGGAUGUGGAAAUCCCCAGGCUCAACCUGGGAACCUGCAUCCGAUACUGGAUGGCUUGAAUCCGGGAGAGGGAUGCAGAAUUCCAGGUGUAGCGGUGAAAUGCGUAGAUAUCUGGAGGAAUACCGGUGGCGAAGGCGGCAUCCUGGACCGGCAU
Molecule: ribosomal RNA, 218 nt
Filed under: uncultured bacterium
Lineage: Bacteria
Description: partial 16S ribosomal RNA
Rfam family: Bacterial small subunit ribosomal RNA
Source: RNAcentral